GCUCGCAUAGCUCAGCGGUAGAGCAUUGUACUUAUGGGUUAUCCUACUUGAGACGGUAAACGUGAAAACGUGUUACGGUAUGCAAGGGUCGCCAGUUCGACCCUGGCUGUGAGCA
Molecule: non-coding RNA, 115 nt
Organism: Pterulicium gracile
Lineage: Eukaryota; Fungi; Basidiomycota; Agaricomycetes; Agaricales; Pterulaceae
Source: the annotation of a GenBank genome assembly